UGGGGAAUUUUGGACAAUGGGGGCAACCCUGAUCCAGCCAUUCCGCGUGAGUGAAGAAGGCCUUCGGGUUGUAAAGCUCUUUCAGCAGGAACGAAACGGUGGUCCCUAAUACGGGUUACUAAUGACGGUACCUGAAGAAGAAGCACCGGCUAACUACGUGCCAGCAGCCGCGGUAAUACGUAGGGUGCGAGCGUUAAUCGGAAUUACUGGGCGUAAAGCGUGCGCAGGCGGUUCUAUAAGACAGAUGUGAAAUCCCCGGGCUUAACCUGGGAACUGCGUUUGUGACUGUAGGACUUGAGUGUGGCAGAGGGGGGUGGAAUUCCACGUGUAGCAGUGAAAUGCGUAGAGAUGUGGAGGAACACCGAUGGCGAAGGCAGCCCCCUGGGUCAACACUGACGCUCAUGCACGAAAGCGUGGGGAGCAAACAGG
This 429-nucleotide ribosomal RNA is filed under the name uncultured bacterium. RNAcentral's name for it is "bacterial SSU rRNA". It matches the Rfam family "Bacterial small subunit ribosomal RNA", at positions 355 to 776 of the family's 1533-position model. The record is from RNAcentral.